GCUUACAGCCAUACCAACCUGGCUAUGCCCAAUCUCGUCUGAUCUCGGAAGCUAAGCAUGUUUGGUUCUGGUUACUACUUGGAUGGGAGACCGCCUGGGAAUACCAGGUGCUGUAAGCU
This is a ribosomal RNA of Carassius auratus (goldfish), 119 nucleotides long. The record is from Ensembl. Lineage: Eukaryota; Metazoa; Chordata; Actinopteri; Cypriniformes; Cyprinidae.